AUAAUAAUAAUAAUGAUAAUAAUAAUAAUAAUAAUUUAUAAUAAUCAUUAGAAAAAGCUCGUUAAGGCCCAGCCAGCCCCUCCCCCAACCCAAAAAUGACCAGAAAAGGAGUUUUUUUCCCAAAAAAACCUUUAAUAAAUACAAGGAGGGGAAGCUCCCAGUGCUCCCAGUGCUCCCAGUAAGGGCUCGGGGCUCCCAGUUCCAUUUUGGGGAGAAAAGGGGGAUUUUGAGGGGAGAAAAGGGCGGGAAAACGUGAGGGGAAAAAGGGCGGGAAAACAUGAGGGGAGAAAAGGGCGGGAAAACGUGAGGGGAGAAAAGGGCGGGAAAACGUGAGGGGAAAAAGGCGGGAAAACGUGAGGGGAGAAAAGGGCGGGAAAACGUGAGGGGAAAAAGGCGGGAAAAUGCCGGAAAAGGCCAAGAAAAAGCCAGAAAAGGCUGGAAAAUGCCGGAAAAUGCUGGAAAAAGGUCAGGAAGAUGCCAGAAAAGGCCCAGAAAAUGCUAGAAAAGGCCGGAAAAAGCCAGAAAAGGCCACAAGGGUGAGGGGAAAAGGCCCGGAAAAGGCAAGAAAAGGGCAAUAAAAGGUCAGGAAAAGGCCGGAAAACUCCGGAAAAGGCCAGAAAAUGCUGGGAAAAGACCAGAAAAUGCUGGAAAAAGGCAAUAAAAGGUCAAGAAAAGUCUGGAAAAGUCCAGAAAAAUCAGGAAAAGGCCGGAAAAAGGCAAUAAAAAGUCAGGAAAAGUCUGGAAAAGUCCAGAAAAAGUCAGGAAAAGGCCAAAAAAGGCCGGAAAAAGGCAAUAAAAGGCCUGGAAAAGGCUGGAAAAGGCCAGAAAAUGCUGGGAAAAGGCAAUAAAAGGCUGGUAAAGGUCAGGAAAAUUCCGGAAAGGUCCGGCGAAGGCUCCGGCGUCAGAAGGCGGCGGCGCCGCGCGUCAGCGUCAGCACGGCGUCCAUCCAGAUGCGCAGCGCCUCGGCGCUCGGCGCCACCAGCCAGAACAGGCGCUCGUAGGUCUUGAGGCAGAAGGUGAGGCGCGGGUUGGGG
Molecule: long non-coding RNA, 1034 nt
Filed under: Cyanistes caeruleus (blue tit)
Lineage: Eukaryota; Metazoa; Chordata; Aves; Passeriformes; Paridae
Description: lncRNA (ENSCCEG00000004276.1)
Source: RNAcentral